RNAcentral lists this small RNA (166 nucleotides) under Gopherus agassizii (Agassiz's desert tortoise). Its description in RNAcentral is "TUC338 (ENSGAGG00000011885.1)". Lineage: Eukaryota; Metazoa; Chordata; Testudines; Testudinidae. The record is from RNAcentral.
CUGACAGCCUGGAGGACCACAGUCCUCUAUUUAUCCACACCACAUGGGCAGUAGCAGUGCGGGCUUCCCCAGCACUGCCCAGCAACGUCUCAAUCUUGACCCAGAGGGCCUAGUUAAGAGGGUGAGAGGAGAGUUCAUGACCUGCUCCUUCGUUGCUCUGUCUGCU